RNAcentral lists this transfer RNA (73 nucleotides) under Candidatus Nanopelagicaceae bacterium. RNAcentral describes it as "tRNA-Thr". It matches the Rfam family "tRNA". From Rfam's summary of the family: Transfer RNA (tRNA) molecules are approximately 80 nucleotides in length. Lineage: Bacteria; Bacillati; Actinomycetota; Actinomycetes; Candidatus Nanopelagicales; Candidatus Nanopelagicaceae. The record is from RNAcentral. RNAcentral also lists the same sequence under 2 other names.
GCCCCCCUAGCUCAGUUGGUAGAGCGUUUCCAUGGUAAGGAAGAGGUCAACGGUUCGAUUCCGUUGGGGGGCU